Molecule: ribosomal RNA, 465 nt
Filed under: Vreelandella stevensii
Lineage: Bacteria; Pseudomonadati; Pseudomonadota; Gammaproteobacteria; Oceanospirillales; Halomonadaceae
Description: partial 16S ribosomal RNA
Rfam family: Bacterial small subunit ribosomal RNA
Source: RNAcentral
CCUACGGGAGGCAGCAGUGGGGAAUAUUGGACAAUGGGCGAAAGCCUGAUCCAGCCAUGCCGCGUGUGUGAAGAAGGCCUUCGGGUUGUAAAGCACUUUCAGUGGGGAAGAAAGCCUUGGGGCUAAUACCCUCGAGGACUGACAUCACCCACAGAAGAAGCACCGGCUAACUCCGUGCCAGCAGCCGCGGUAAUACGGAGGGUGCGAGCGUUAAUCGGAAUUACUGGGCGUAAAGCGCGCGUAGGCGGUCUGAUAAGCCGGUUGUGAAAGCCCCGGGCUCAACCUGGGAACGGCAUCGGAAACUGGCAGGCUAGAGUGCAGGAGAGGAAGGUAGAAUUCCCGGUGUAGCGGUGAAAUGCGUAGAGAUCGGGAGGAAUACCAGUGGCGAAGGCGGCCUUCUGGACCGACACUGACGCUGAGGUGCGAAAGCGUGGGUAGCAAACAGGAUUAGAUACCCCGGUAGUC